GAGCGAACGGACGAAGAAGCUUGCUNNCUCUGAUGUUAGCGGCGGACGGGUGAGUAACACGUGGAUNACCUACCUAUAANACNGGGAUAACUUCGGGAAACCGGAGCUAAUACCGGAUAAUAUUUUGAACCGCAUGGUUCAAAAGUGAAAGACGGUCUUGCUGUCACUUAUAGAUGGAUCCGCGCUGCAUUAGCUAGUUGGUAAGGUAACGGCUUACCAAGGCAACGAUGCAUAGCCGACCUGAGAGGGUGAUCGGCCACACUGGAACUGAGACACGGUCCAGACUCCUACGGGAGGCAGCAGUAGGGAAUCUUCCGCAAUGGGCGAAAGCCUGACGGAGCAACGCCGCGUGAGUGAUGAAGGUCUUCGGAUCGUAAAACUCUGUUAUUAGGGAAGAACAUAUGUGUAAGUAACUGUGCACAUCUUGACGGUACCUAAUCAGAAAGCCACGGCUAACUACGUGC
RNAcentral lists this ribosomal RNA (464 nucleotides) under Staphylococcus aureus. RNAcentral's name for it is "bacterial SSU rRNA". It matches the Rfam family "Bacterial small subunit ribosomal RNA", at positions 64 to 508 of the family's 1533-position model. Lineage: Bacteria; Bacillati; Bacillota; Bacilli; Caryophanales; Staphylococcaceae. The record is from RNAcentral.